CCGUGCAGCCGGGAGAGCAGCGGCCUCCUGUACCUGAAAUCCGCUAUAGCAGGGGUGAUGUCCGGCCGAGGGCCAGCGCCUUUAUGGCUGCCCUCUAUAAGUGGCGUUGAAGUUUGGGUCUCACGCAACGGAUGUCUGUGAACCGUGUCAGGUUGGGAACAAAGCAGCACUAAGCAGAAUUUUUCGUGUGCCGUGAGGGUGCCUGGCGGAGUUAACUGUAGAGGUAACGCAUAGGGGCAUAAGGUUCGAAGCAGGACGCACGG
RNAcentral lists this signal recognition particle RNA (263 nucleotides) under Candidatus Eisenbergiella stercoravium. Its description in RNAcentral is "signal recognition particle sRNA large type". It matches the Rfam family "Bacterial large signal recognition particle RNA". From Rfam's summary of the family: The signal recognition particle (SRP) is a universally conserved ribonucleoprotein involved in the co-translational targeting of proteins to membranes. Archaeal SRP consists of a 7S RNA and homologues of the eukaryotic SRP19 and SRP54 proteins. The record is from RNAcentral. Lineage: Bacteria; Bacillati; Bacillota; Clostridia; Lachnospirales; Lachnospiraceae.